RNAcentral lists this unclassified non-coding RNA (303 nucleotides) under Hevea brasiliensis (rubber tree). The record is from RNAcentral. Lineage: Eukaryota; Viridiplantae; Streptophyta; Magnoliopsida; Malpighiales; Euphorbiaceae.
UCAACAGGGGUUUGGCGGAUCCGGUCCCGUGGCCGAUCACGGGGGCCGUCUUGAAGAGUUCGAUCGACUUAUUCCAUAGCUCCAGCCGCUGCCCGACAGACGUGGUUCCUGCCUCUUUUUGAGCCGCGCGAUAUUCGCUGAAUGCCGCGGAAACUUUGUGCUGCAGGUUCGAAGAGAUUGUCCAGAGGCAGGCAAUCGUAACAACGAGGGCCAGGCAUGCGAUCCAGAAAUGUCUGCGACCAAGGUAGCGGUAGGCAAAAAACACCGCGAGGACGGGACAAUACACCAGCGCAGUCCGCGAGA